UCAUGGCUAAAUCUAAUACACGAGAAUUAAAAAAAAAAUCCAUCCAAAUUGGUGGAGAACCCAGGCAGCGACCUUGUUGCGGACGACGGGAUGGUGGCGACAUCUACUCUGAAUGAAGAAAAGCAAAGGGGAUUCAUUGGAGCGAAGAAUCAGUUUGAUGAACAGCUCUUGAAUAUGCUAAAACAUCUUCAGCAUUCUUCUUCUUCUUCUGAUUAUCAUCUUUGGUGAUUAUAGUUUCUCGAAUCACCUCUCUAGCUUUGCCCAUCUUAUCAUCACUCUGCUUCUUCUCCAACUGCUCUUUUCUCGCCUCCAUCAUUUUUGCCUUGGAUUUUCAGAUCUUAAUUUGGCUGCUCAAGUAAUUAAAGCCGGAUCAAAUGCAUUCAAUCAAACGUGUCUUCACCAC
Molecule: long non-coding RNA, 403 nt
Filed under: Salvia miltiorrhiza (redroot sage)
Lineage: Eukaryota; Viridiplantae; Streptophyta; Magnoliopsida; Lamiales; Lamiaceae
Description: long non-coding RNA (SMIL_LNC010143)
Source: RNAcentral